This 465-nucleotide ribosomal RNA is filed under the name uncultured Klebsiella sp. RNAcentral's name for it is "bacterial SSU rRNA". It matches the Rfam family "Bacterial small subunit ribosomal RNA", at positions 338 to 795 of the family's 1533-position model. The record is from RNAcentral. Lineage: Bacteria; Pseudomonadati; Pseudomonadota; Gammaproteobacteria; Enterobacterales; Enterobacteriaceae.
CCUACGGGCGGCAGCAGUGGGGAAUAUUGCACAAUGGGCGCAAGCCUGAUGCAGCCAUGCCGCGUGUGUGAAGAAGGCCUUCGGGUUGUAAAGCACUUUCAGCGGGGAGGAAGGCGGUGAGGUUAAUAACCUCAUCGAUUGACGUUACCCGCAGAAGAAGCACCGGCUAACUCCGUGCCAGCAGCCGCGGUAAUACGGAGGGUGCAAGCGUUAAUCGGAAUUACUGGGCGUAAAGCGCACGCAGGCGGUCUGUCAAGUCGGAUGUGAAAUCCCCGGGCUCAACCUGGGAACUGCAUUCGAAACUGGCAGGCUAGAGUCUUGUAGAGGGGGGUAGAAUUCCAGGUGUAGCGGUGAAAUGCGUAGAGAUCUGGAGGAAUACCGGUGGCGAAGGCGGCCCCCUGGACAAAGACUGACGCUCAGGUGCGAAAGCGCGGGGAGCAGACAGGAUUAGAUACCCUUGUAGUC